This 656-nucleotide long non-coding RNA is filed under the name Linum usitatissimum (flax). RNAcentral's name for it is "long non-coding RNA (LUSI_LNC001965)". Lineage: Eukaryota; Viridiplantae; Streptophyta; Magnoliopsida; Malpighiales; Linaceae. The record is from RNAcentral.
AUUUCACAAGAGGAUCAGAAGUAGAGCUGUUGAAUUUCUUCUCUAAUGAAACUUAUGAGGCACCCAGGAAAGACAAUCUCAAAUUACGUUUCUUAAACUUGGAGUAGUCUAUCUAAUGGCGGGGAUUCUCAUAUUAUCCAUACUUCUUGUCUGACAUUUCAAAUGGGCUUGCUUAGUGAUGGAUAUAUUCUCGAAGCUGAGUAUUCACAUUUUCCUGAGAUGGCAUUUGAGUCAUUGACAAUAUACAAGGGAGCUUCUGGAGAUUCGGUUGGAAAUAUGCACCAUGGACUUUACCUCCUAAGCUAACAGAUUCUGUAUAGUUUGAUGCUAUUCCACUUCUUACUGAUCAGCAGCGGAUAGUUUUACAUCCAGUUCUUCCCCAAGACUUAAACAGUUCUCUCAUUCCCACGUUUCCACGUGGUCAAUUCUAUUCAUGCUCUUAUUUGAGCAGAGUGAUUACUGUUAACCCUGUGGAAUUGGCUGGCAGGCAGUAUUUCUAUUCAUUAUUAGGUUACUGAUUUUAGUUUCAUAUGAUGGAAAGGUUAGCCUCAUUAAACAUUUAUGUGAUAUCUUGCUUUAGCUAAAAGUCUGCAUACAGUUACAAGUAUGCUUGAAUGUGAAUUAUCUUGCUGAUGCUGCAGGUAGGCGGAACAAUC